CCAAAGCAAGAAACAACCUCUCCUAAAGAUAAUAGGGACAGUAAGCAUCUUGUUUAAGGAAGCUGAGAAGUUCAGAGUUUAUAUAUUCAAGAAUUAGAAGCAAGACCUUGUGGUACAUAAACUACCUUCUUCAGCCGAACAGGCAUUUCUGAGAAUGAAAGACCACAUCUUUGGAAGCCUGCAAUUUUAAGCAAGUUUUUGGGAUUCAUGGAAACAGAAGAUCAAAUUACUUUUCCAGAAGGCUUUUCUGUAUGCUCCAGGAAGAUACUGAAGAUACCAAAUAGUGGA
Lagopus leucura (white-tailed ptarmigan) is the source of this 288-nucleotide long non-coding RNA. RefSeq lists it as uncharacterized. The transcript is spliced from 4 exons. The record is from RefSeq and is a predicted model, not a curated record. NCBI's taxonomy places the organism in Eukaryota, Metazoa, Chordata, Aves, Galliformes, Phasianidae.